Molecule: ribosomal RNA, 253 nt
Filed under: uncultured bacterium
Lineage: Bacteria
Description: partial 16S ribosomal RNA
Rfam family: Bacterial small subunit ribosomal RNA
Source: RNAcentral
UACGUAGGGUGCGAGCGUUAAUCGGAAUUACUGGGCGUAAAGCGCGUGCAGGCGGCCUUGCAAAUCGGACGUGAAAUCCCACGGCUCAACCGUGGAAGUGCAUUCGAAACUGCGAGGCUGGAGUCCUGGAGAGGAAAGUGGAAUACUCGGUGUAGAGGUGAAAUUCGUAGAUAUCGAGUGGAACACCGGUGGCGAAGGCGGCUUUCUGGACAGGUACUGACGCUGAGACGCGAAAGCGUGGGGAGCAAACAGG